Molecule: ribosomal RNA, 172 nt
Filed under: Scopelosaurus hoedti
Lineage: Eukaryota; Metazoa; Chordata; Actinopteri; Aulopiformes; Notosudidae
Description: partial 12S rRNA
Source: RNAcentral
CGCCGCGGUUAUACGGGGGGCCCAAGUUGAUAAACAUCGGCGUAAAGCGUGGUUACGGGCUCCCCCACACUAAAGUCAAACACCCCUCCUGCUGUUAUACGCUUACAGGGGCAGGAAGCUCCACCACGAAAGUGACUUUAACAUCUCUCCCGAACCCACCACAGCUAGGGCA